Molecule: ribosomal RNA, 704 nt
Filed under: Candidatus Woesebacteria bacterium
Lineage: Bacteria; Candidatus Woeseibacteriota
Description: bacterial SSU rRNA
Rfam family: Bacterial small subunit ribosomal RNA
Source: RNAcentral
GAUGCAGAUUAGGUGUUUCGAGUAUCGACCCUCGGAGUGCCGUAGCUAACGCGUUAAAUCUGCCACCUGGGAAGUACGGCCGCAAGGCUAAAACUCAAAGGAAUAGACGGGGACUCGCACAAGCGGUGGAACAUGAGGUUCAAUUCGACGGUAAACGAAAAACCUUACCAGGGUUUGAAAUGCACUUGAAGACCAGCAGAAACGUUGGUCGUCUCUCAAGGACAAGUGCACAGGUGCUGCAUGGUUGUCGUCAGCUCGUGCUUUGAAGUGUUCCCUUAAGUGGGUUAACGAGCGCAACCCCUGUCCUGUGUUUUAUAUGUCACAGGAGACCGCCGUGUUUAACACGGAGGAAGGCAGGGAUGACGUCAAAUCCGCAUGGCCCUCUGAUACCCUGGGCUACACUCGUGUUACAAUGGCCGAUACAAUGGGCAGCCAACCCGCAAGGGGGAGCAAAUCCUAUCAAAAUCGGCCCCAGUUCAGAUUGGAGGCUGCAACUCGCCUCCAUGAAGCCGGAAUCGCUAGUAAUCGUGGGUCAGCUAUACCACGGUGAAUACGUUCUCGAGUCCUGUACUCACCGCCCGUCAAGUCAAGGAAGUCGGUAAUACCCGAACCCCGACGUUCGUCGGAGCAAGGUAGGAUCGAUAACAGGGGCUAAGUCGUAACAAGGCACGCGUAGCGGAAGCUGUGCGUGGAUCAAUUAAACU